UGGGGAAUUUUGGACAAUGGGCGAAAGCCUGAUCCAGCAAUGCCGCGUGUGUGAAGAAGGCCUUCGGGUUGUAAAGCACUUUUGUCCGGAAAGAAAUCCUUGGCUCUAAUACAGUCGGGGGAUGACGGUACCGGAAGAAUAAGCACCGGCUAACUACGUGCCAGCAGCCGCGGUAAUACGUAGGGUGCAAGCGUUAAUCGGAAUUACUGGGCGUAAAGCGUGCGCAGGCGGUUUGCUAAGACCGAUGUGAAAUCCCCGGGCUCAACCUGGGAACUGCAUUGGUGACUGGCAGGCUAGAGUAUGGCAGAGGGGGGUAGAAUUCCACGUNUAGCAGUGAAAUGCGUAGAGAUGUGGAGGAAUACCGAUGGCGAAGGCAGCCCCCUGGGCAAUACUGACGCUCAUGCACGAAAGCGUGGGGAGCAAACAGGAUUAGAUAACCUGGUAGUCCACGCCCUAAACGAUGUCAACUAGUUGUUGGGGAUUCAUUCCUUAGUAACGUAGCUAACGCGUGAAGUUGACCGCCUGGGGAGUACGUCGCAAGAUUAAAACUCAAUGAAUUGACGGGGUCAUAGCUGUUUCCU
This 581-nucleotide ribosomal RNA is filed under the name uncultured bacterium. RNAcentral's name for it is "partial 16S ribosomal RNA". It matches the Rfam family "Bacterial small subunit ribosomal RNA", at positions 355 to 1375 of the family's 1533-position model. The record is from RNAcentral.